Molecule: long non-coding RNA, 1005 nt
Filed under: Gallus gallus (chicken)
Lineage: Eukaryota; Metazoa; Chordata; Aves; Galliformes; Phasianidae
Description: lncRNA (ENSGALG00010002737.1)
Source: RNAcentral
GGGGCGCCGCGGGAGAGGGUACCCGUCGCCAUUUUGCCCCCUCGAAGGCCGGCGGGGUCGUGGCGAUGCGCGGUCCCACCGAGUUACAGACCUCGUUGUACCCCCACGCGGCUCGACCCGGGGAGGGGCGCAACGCUGGCUUCGCCCCCUCCCACCAUCCUCUUACCACGGCUGCCACAACCACCACGCUUGGUGUGCUUACUGCACUGCCUGCAGCUCCUGGACAAAGUUUCUCCCUCAGCACACUCCCAUCCCAGUCUCGUAAGCAGCUACAGCACUGGCACCUUCAGGGCUGGCGUUCCUCCUCCUCCCACUUUGAUGCCGCUCUGCACAACUCUGCACUUAGGCAGGCAGUGGGGCCUGCAGCGUUCAGUUGUGGAAGGAAUCCCCAAAGAGAGAAAAGGUGUCGGGCCGGGCUGUGCAGUGCUGCUGGGACCUUCUGCCUCCGUGUGGCUGCAGCUCAUCUCAUGUAGGGACUGCAAAGUCCUGUGGAGACGAACACAGGCCAGAGUGCACCGCUCAGAUUUGUGACAGCUAGAAGGAUCUGGAGGAAGACUUAUCUUGUGUAAUAGGCCUUGUGCUUUGCUCCCGCCUCGAUGGAAAAUCAUUACACAGUAAUGGAUGAGCCGGUUCGGAAGGAGCGCCGCUGGGGUGCCGCUCGCCUUCUUUCGGAGAUGCGGCAUAUGAGAGGAAGUAGCGGGAGGCCUGCCAACUUUCCCAAUUUAAUUAUUAAGCUGUCGGUUCCUGACUUCUUGUUUUCCACUUCCCGAGGCAACAUCUGGCUGUAAUAACAAAAAUAAAUAAUUAACAUAAAAUUUGAUCAUUCGCUCGGCGGCGUUCUGUUUCCAGUGGCCUUUUUGCUGCAGCCUUGCAAAGAACUCAAUACGGGGGAUCUGGACCUGGCAUCUCUCUGAACUACUCCUAAGCGGAGAUGAGAAUGGAGUCAGUUGUGAUCCGCGAGGCAGAGCUGUGCAGAAGGGUCUGUUGUACUCAAGCCUUUUUCAG